GGCUGGUCCGAAGGUAGUGAGUUAUCUCACUUGAUUGUUCAGUCAGUUACAGAUUGAACUCCUUGUUCUACUACUUAACCCCCCUCUUCACUACUGCACUUGACUAGUCUUAA
Molecule: Y RNA, 113 nt
Filed under: Propithecus coquereli (Coquerel's sifaka)
Lineage: Eukaryota; Metazoa; Chordata; Mammalia; Primates; Indriidae
Description: Y RNA (ENSPCOG00000005219.1)
Rfam family: Y RNA
About the family: Y RNAs are components of the Ro ribonucleoprotein particle (Ro RNP), in association with Ro60 and La proteins. The Y RNAs and Ro60 and La proteins are well conserved, but the function of the Ro RNP is not known.
Source: Rfam by way of RNAcentral